This 496-nucleotide ribosomal RNA is filed under the name uncultured bacterium. RNAcentral describes it as "bacterial SSU rRNA". It matches the Rfam family "Bacterial small subunit ribosomal RNA", at positions 30 to 517 of the family's 1533-position model. The record is from RNAcentral.
AUUGAACGCUGGCGGCAUGCCUUACACAUGCAAGUCGAACGGCAGCACGGGAGCUUGCUCCUGGUGGCGAGUGGCGAACGGGUGAGUAAUACAUCGGAACGUACCCUGAAGUGGGGGAUAACGUAGCGAAAGUUACGCUAAUACCGCAUAUUCUGUGAGCAGGAAAGAGGGGGAUCGCAAGACCUCUUGCUUUAGGAGCGGCCGAUGUCGGAUUAGCUAGUUGGUGAGGUAAAGGCUCACCAAGGCGACGAUCCGUAGCGGGUCUGAGAGGAUGAUCCGCCACACUGGGACUGAGACACGGCCCAGACUCCUACGGGAGGCAGCAGUGGGGAAUUUUGGACAAUGGGCGCAAGCCUGAUCCAGCCAUGCCGCGUGAGUGAAGAAAGCCUUCGGGUUGUAAAGCUCUUUCGGUGGGGAAGAAAUUGCACAGGAUAAUACCUUGUGUAGAUGACGGUACCCGCAUAAGAAGCACCGGCUAACUACGUGCCAGCAGCCG